RNAcentral lists this ribosomal RNA (520 nucleotides) under uncultured Archaeospora. RNAcentral describes it as "SSU rRNA". It matches the Rfam family "Eukaryotic small subunit ribosomal RNA", at positions 569 to 1092 of the family's 1831-position model. The record is from RNAcentral. Lineage: Eukaryota; Fungi; Glomeromycota; Glomeromycetes; Archaeosporales; Archaeosporaceae.
AGCAGCCGCGGUAAUUCCAGCUCCAAUAGCGUAUAUUAAAGUUGUUGCAGUUAAAAGCUCGUAGUUGAAUUUUAGGCCUGGCCGGGCGGUCCGUCUUUGGCGAGUACUGUCUUGUUGUCGGGUCUUCCUUCUGGUGAACUAGUAUGCCCUUUAUUGGGUGUGUUGGGGAGCCAAGACCAUUACCUUGAAAAAAUUAGAGUGUUUAAAGCGGGCUAUUGCUUGAAUAGAUUAGCAUGGAAUAAUAGAAUGGGACGUUUGUGGUUCUAUUUUGUUGGUUUCUAGGACCACCGUAAUGAUUAAUAGGGAUAGUUGGGGGCAUUAGUAUUCAAUUGUCAGAGGUGAAAUUCUUGGAUUUAUUGAAGACUAACUAUUGCGAAAGCAUUUGCCAAGGAUGUUUUCAUUAAUCAAGAACGAAAGUUAGGGGAUCGAAGACGAUCAGAUACCGUCGUAGUCUUAACCAUAAACUAUGCCGACUAGGAAUCGGGCGACGUUAUUUUCAUGACUCGCUCGGCGCCUUAUG